RNAcentral lists this microRNA precursor (110 nucleotides) under Medicago truncatula (barrel medic). RNAcentral describes it as "miRNA gene25784". It matches the Rfam family "MIR2587 microRNA precursor family". The record is from RNAcentral. Lineage: Eukaryota; Viridiplantae; Streptophyta; Magnoliopsida; Fabales; Fabaceae.
CGAUGGUGUCAUGGUCAUUGUUGACCGUUCAUAAGAACCCUGCAAUUGCAAUGCAUUGCAGCUUGUGUGGGGUUCAUAUAACGGUUAACAGAGAUCAUUGACAUCAAAGA